UACGUAGGGGGCAAGCGUUGUCCGGAUUUAUUGGGCGUAAAGAGCUCGUAGGCGGUUUGGUAAGUCAGGUGUGAAAUCUCCACGCUCAACGUGGAGGGGCCACCUGAUACUGCCAUGGCUAGAGUCCGGAAGAGGAGAGUGGAAUUCCUGGUGUAGCGGUGAAAUGCGCAGAUAUCAGGAAGAACACCUAUGGCGAAGGCAGCUCUCUGGGACGGUACUGACGCUGAGACGCGAAAGCGUGGGGAGCGAACAGG
RNAcentral lists this ribosomal RNA (254 nucleotides) under uncultured bacterium. Its description in RNAcentral is "partial 16S ribosomal RNA". It matches the Rfam family "Bacterial small subunit ribosomal RNA", at positions 524 to 776 of the family's 1533-position model. The record is from RNAcentral.